UACGGAGGGUGCAAGCGUUGUUCGGAAUUACUGGGCGUAAAGCGCACGUAGGCGGAUUUGUAAGUCAGGAGUGAAAUCCCGGGGCUCAACCUCGGAACUGCCUUUGAUACUGCAAAUCUCGAGUCCGGAAGAGGUGAGUGGAAUUCCUAGUGUAGAGGUGAAAUUCGUAGAUAUUAGGAAGAACACCAGUGGCGAAGGCGGCUCACUGGUCCGGUACUGACGCUGAGGUGCGAAAGCGUGGGGAGCAAACAGG
RNAcentral lists this ribosomal RNA (253 nucleotides) under uncultured bacterium. RNAcentral describes it as "partial 16S ribosomal RNA". It matches the Rfam family "Bacterial small subunit ribosomal RNA", at positions 524 to 776 of the family's 1533-position model. The record is from RNAcentral.